GUGGGUGUUAUUCACUGUCCACAUUUUGCAGAAGAGGAAACUGAGACUCAGAGAGAGGAAGUAAAUUGCUCAGGUUCACUCAGCUAGGAAGCAACAGAUCAGGAUUCGAGCCCAGUCCAAAAUCAUAAUUCACUCCCUUGAAAAGCCAAAAGAGAGAGAGAACAGGGCCAGACGGGGUGGCGUCAGGAGGGUUGUGGGUCCCCUGGCUGCUGUGCAGAGCUUACAUCGGGCGCUCAAAGGAGCCCGAGCCAACCACUGCCCAAGAGAUUCUACCAAGAUGAAAAUGGUUCCUCCCCAGCCACAGUUCCAUCACCUGCGUGAUGGGACGAGAGACUGGAUCAGGUGUUCUCCACAGCCGGUUAUGAAGUGAUCCCAGGCCUGGGUCUCCUGAUGAGUCCAUCUGACUUCCACUCUCCAGCACCCCCAGGGUUUACUGCUUCCAUCCUGCUGACAGCCAUAUGCUCUUCUCUGGCUGAUUCAAGACAAAAGAAGAUAGGAUGACAAAGCAGAAGACCAGAGAGAAAGAGAUUUGAAGAUGCUACCCUGCUGGCUUUGGAGAUGGAAGCAAGGGCCAUGAGCCAAGAGGUGUAUGUGGCUUUUGGAAGCAGCCACAGCAAAUUAACACAACCACGGAGCCAGUCCCCACAGCCUGGUCAGGUGCAGCAUGAUUCCAGACAACAGCAAUGAGGAAGCCAGCCUUGUGGAGCUGAUGCCUGGCAGAGAACAUCACUAAGCAACAGGCAUCCUGAGUGCUUGGGUUUGAGGCCCAGCCUUGCUAUCUCCCAGCUGUGUGAUUUGGACCAAGUAACUCGAUCUCACCUCACCUGCCUGAUGAGAUAACAGGAUUUUGUGAGGUUUAUAUGUAUCUUUGGCUCUUGGAACAAUGUCUGGCACAGAGUAAUUUACAAGGGCUCAGUAAAUCUGUCAUUUAUGGCCUCCCCAUGUCAGCAGCUAGGUGGCUGGCCACAGCCCUCGUGGUGGAGUGAGGCUGGGAUCUGGGGCUGGCCAAUGAGAGGCCCAAGUCUCCUUGACUGGGGGAUCAGCCAUGGUCACCAGAACCAACUCACAUCAGCCCUGGACUUUGGCUGGAAGUUCUGGGAAAGAGGUGCUCUCUCCCUGUUGGGAUCUUGUUGGGAUUCUCGAGGAGCUCGGCCUGGAGAAGAUGGCGGGCAUUUUUGUCACCACGAGGGGACAGCCUGCCUGAGAAGGAAGCCAACAGGAAGGAAGGUGGAGACCAGGAUGGAGCAGGGCAGCUCUUGAUGACGUCACCAAGGCCCUAGAUCCAGACUUGCCUGAACCACCCCUUGGACUGUCUGGUUCCAGGAACCAAUCACUACCCCUUUUUGCUUUAGGAGUUUUAUCUGGGUUUCUGCCACUCACAACCAGGAGAGUCCUGACUGAUAGACAGGGACUCAAUGAACACAUGUUGAUUGAGUGACUGAGUGAGCAUUCAGGGCUCUGGCACUGUCCUGAGCCCAGUAAAUUUUGGGAUGAUUGUGUGGUAAGUGUCUCGCCUUCCUGUAGGACCAUAGGGACUUGCAGGGGAUUCUUCAUUUGACUUGGGAAGAUGCCUUCUUCGUCCUCCCUGCUUGCAGGGCUUGGCAUCGAAGUCUAGGUUCCUUCAAGAGAAGGCGGAGGUACUGUGCACCUGGCCCAGGAGGCCAAAUCCCUGUUUUCUUCUCUCUGACCCAAAUUUCCCCAAACAGCGAGGUCUCAGCUCCACUUGGAGAGGGGAGAUGGGAAAGAGGCUGGCUGCUAGAGUCCAAAGCAACAGCCCAGGAAAUAAGGGCCUUUAUUAGUCCCAUUUUACAGAUGAAGACACUGAGGCCAGAGAGCCGAAGUUAUCUGUCUUCAAACCCAGGGCCCACCAAACAGAACUCAACUCUAUCCUUGCUUCCAAACCACUGCUUCCUCCUCCUUAGCCAUUUUCCAUCUGGUGUUGGCGUUUUUUUUCCUGGCUUUCUUGCCCUGUCA
This 1974-nucleotide long non-coding RNA is filed under the name Homo sapiens (human). RNAcentral describes it as "HSALNT0311981". The record is from RNAcentral. Lineage: Eukaryota; Metazoa; Chordata; Mammalia; Primates; Hominidae.